UGCACACUGAGACUGGACCCUUCCCUUUGCCCCACUCGGAGGAGCAGCCCAGGCGGACAAGGCACCGGACAGAGAACGGGCCUCUGUGGGCAGGUGCUGAGGACCCACGGGCAGCCAGCAGGUGGCUAAGAUCACUGCCUCCUUCGCCGGCUUUCUGGACCAGGGCCACCCGGCCCCCCAGUCCCAGCUCCUUCGGGCCUGGGAUGGGGAAAGGAGGCAGGGCAGAGCCCAGGACGAGGGAAGGCCGGUCCUGUCUGGACGCAAGGGGUCGGGCACCACCUCGUCUUCAGACCCUCGUAGGACAAGACGUCUACAGACACUGGCCCAUGAACGAUGGGGGCCGGAGGGGAGACAGGAUGCUAGGCUGGUGAGAGGGUCACCACGGCUUCGAGAUGCCUGGAUGUCCUGUUUAAUUUGCACCAGUGGGCAGGCCCCACAAUUACCACCCACCGGGCUCUGAGCUCCUUCCUCCGUCAGCUGGGGCACAGGGCUGGCCCCUACCUGCCCACCAGGCAGGCCCCAAGUGACCCUGCCUCCAGGAGACCUUCUGAGCCUGUACACCGGCCCCUGCCAAGGAGGAGGAGGUGGAAAGCAGCCGCUUGGGGAGGGAGCGACCUUGGGCUCACGUGUGAGGCUGCACAUCCAGUCGUCCUACUUCCUGUUCCCAUGACCUCAUUGUGAGAAGACCCCACCCAGCCCCUCUGGCUACAGCGCUGGCCCCAGACCCCAGAUGAUCACAAGAGGGCUGCCCGGGGAGAUCGCCAGGAGGCAGAAUAAAGAAUGGAAGGCUGCUGCUGGGGGUGGGGUCUGAGUUGGGAGUCUCUCCCGGGCUUCUCCCUCGCCUGGCUACUGAAACCUCCCCACAAACAAGGCAGGGAAACUGAGGACAAAUCCCCACCCAUACUUCAAGAUCCAACAGCCCCACGCUGCAUACAGCUCAGCAACACCCCCGAUCCUUCUGGCCCGCUCAGCCCGAACCUGCAGAGGCUCCUCAGUCCCCUCCCUGUCUGCCUAGCUCAGAGUCUGAAUCCUGCGAAGGUCCAUCCACACAGUGGGAUAGGGUUCAGCCAUGAAAAAGAGGGUGAAAUUCUGGCACCCGCUAAGACGUGGAGGAACCUUGAGAAGCUUGUGCCGAGUGCAGAAAGGCAGACAUAAAAGGUCCUACGUUGUGUAAAAUUUCAUUUAUGUGAAAUACCCAGAAUGGGUAAACCCACAGAAACAGAAUAGAGACUGGUGGCUGCCAGGGGCGGGGGAUGGGGUAGGGAAAAGUUUCUCACAGGCCACGGUUGCACAACAUUGCGAAGGCACUAAACGCCAAUGCUCACUUUAAAACGGUAAUUUUAGGGGCGCCUGGGUGGCUCAGUGGGUUAACUGUCCAACUCUUGAUCUCGGCUCAGGUCAUGAUCUCACGGUUCGUGGGUUCG
Felis catus (domestic cat) is the source of this 1424-nucleotide long non-coding RNA. RefSeq lists it as uncharacterized. The record is from RefSeq and is a predicted model, not a curated record. NCBI's taxonomy places the organism in Eukaryota, Metazoa, Chordata, Mammalia, Carnivora, Felidae. The transcript is spliced from 7 exons.